This is a long non-coding RNA of Trichechus manatus latirostris (Florida manatee), 229 nucleotides long. RefSeq lists it as uncharacterized. The transcript has 3 exons. The record is from RefSeq and is a predicted model, not a curated record. NCBI's taxonomy places the organism in Eukaryota, Metazoa, Chordata, Mammalia, Sirenia, Trichechidae.
GUGAGCCAAGAAAGACAAUGAUCCUCUGCUGCGAGCCCUUGUCUACUGGUGCCCAGACUGAGUGGAGCAGAACUCGAACUGGUUGACUAAUUCCUACUCCUCCAUCUAGUAAGAUGCUGUCAGUUUGAUUCCUGUGUACUCCAUCUGGUGAGGUCCAUUAAGGAGAGCUGUGUGGAAGACGUAACAAAUGUUCCACGAUUGAGAACACUCGUAGUCAGAAAUCUGAAAG